This 253-nucleotide ribosomal RNA is filed under the name uncultured bacterium. Its description in RNAcentral is "partial 16S ribosomal RNA". It matches the Rfam family "Bacterial small subunit ribosomal RNA", at positions 524 to 776 of the family's 1533-position model. The record is from RNAcentral.
UACAGAGGGAGCAAGCGUUAUUCGGAAUUAUUGGGCGUAAAGGGCGCGUAGGCGGCUUUGCAAGUGACGGGUGAAAGCCCUCGGCUUAACCGAGGAACUGCCUGUCAGACUGUAAGGCUUGAGACCGGGAGAGGUGAGUGGAAUUCCCAGUGUAGCGGUGAAAUGCGUAGAUAUUGGGAGGAACACCAGUGGCGAAGGCGGCUCACUGGACCGGAACUGACGCUGAGGCGCGAAAGCGUGGGGAGCAAACAGG